GACGAACCGUGCGAACGUUAUUCGGAAUCACUGGGCUUAAAGGGCGCGUAGGCGGGCGGACAAGUCGGGGGUGAAAUCGUUCGGCCCAACCGGACAAGGGCCCCCGAUACUGGCCGUCUCGAGGGAGGUAGGGGUCGAUGGAACUUCCGGUGGAGCGGUGAAAUGCGUAGAUAUCGAGAGGAACACCUGCGGCGAAGGCGGGUUGCUGGGCUGACACUGACGCUGAUGCGCGAAAGCCAGGGGAGCGAACGGG
RNAcentral lists this ribosomal RNA (253 nucleotides) under uncultured bacterium. RNAcentral's name for it is "partial 16S ribosomal RNA". It matches the Rfam family "Bacterial small subunit ribosomal RNA", at positions 524 to 776 of the family's 1533-position model. The record is from RNAcentral.